RNAcentral lists this ribosomal RNA (253 nucleotides) under uncultured bacterium. Its description in RNAcentral is "partial 16S ribosomal RNA". It matches the Rfam family "Bacterial small subunit ribosomal RNA", at positions 524 to 776 of the family's 1533-position model. The record is from RNAcentral.
GACAUAGGUGGCAAACGUUAUCCGGAAUUAUUGGGCGUAAAGGGUGCGUAGGUGGUUUAAUAAGUUAUUGGUGGGAAAACGGGGCCCAACUCCGUGGAAGCUAGUAAUACUAUUAGACUAGAGGACCGGAGAGGUUAACGGAAUGGCUCGUGUAGGGGUAAAAUUUGUUGAUAUCAGGAGGAACACCUAAAGCGAAGGCAAUUCUCUGGUACUCCACUGACGUUGAGGUGCGAGAGCGUGGGGAUCAAAAGGG